ACUAUUUUGACUAUAAUUGUCUGAUCUUUUAUCAGAGAUUCCUCUCCUUUUAGUGUUAAACAGUCUGCUGCCCUCAAGUCUGUUACAGUCCCUAUAGCACAUUGUCUCAAUGAAGUCAUUUGCCGUUUGUUUAUGAAGUAGUAAAUUUCUCCAUUAUCAUCUGGCUCUGUUUUUGGUAAUUCAUUGAUUCUGUCCCUGAGUGCUGUAAUUACUGUUUCACUGCAUUGCAGUGCCUUCAUCACUCUUCAAUAAUUGAUUAAGAAAAGACAGUUUUGUUUUUAUAUCGGAUAAUAUUGCUUUAAAUUCAUCCAUUUGUACAUCAUUUACCUUCUUUUUUUCUUUUGUAGAUUGUCUCUACUUCAUUUUUCAUUUUGUCUCUAUUCUCUUUUACUUUUUUUCAAUAUUUCUUCUACAUGAUUGUCUAUAUCUAUUAAACAUGUGUCUUUAUUUUGUUGUAAUUUUGUAGCAUUGUGGAUAACAGCUUUGAGAACACCUUCUAAUUUGUUUAUGAAGCGUUGGGCAGAUUUUUCUAAGGUGGCUGAAGUUUCUUUAAAUGUUUGGAAUGCGUCUGAAAUGUUUGAUAGUUUCUAAUAAGUUAUUUAGAAAGGUAUUUGGUGGAAGCUUCUCAAGCCCUCUUUUUGGAAUGGGAUAUGAUUUUGAGCAAGUUGGGCAAGUCAGCUGACCCUUCUCCUUAACCCAAUCUUCCAGGCAUCCCAAACAGAAACUAUGGAGGCAGUUGAGGAAUUUUGGAUUUUGAAGUCUCUUAAAGCAGAUGGUACACUCAUCAACCUUCUCAUCAACAUGUUCCAGAAACUGAUUCAACUUACUGGUAGCCAUCUUGAAUUGAUUUCCCGUGAAAUUUAAAUAAUAGGGUCUGAUAGUCUUUAAGAGGAUCAUACAACAAGCAGAGUACUGCAGAGUAGAACAGAACAAGAGAACACAGAUGAGGAGGAGGCGGAGC
Anneissia japonica is the source of this 961-nucleotide long non-coding RNA. RefSeq lists it as uncharacterized. The record is from RefSeq and is a predicted model, not a curated record. The transcript has 3 exons. NCBI's taxonomy places the organism in Eukaryota, Metazoa, Echinodermata, Crinoidea, Comatulida, Comatulidae.